GGGCUGUUAGCUCAAUUGGCAGAGCACUUGACUUACAUUCAAGGGGUCGCAGGUUCGAGUCCUGCACAGCCCA
RNAcentral lists this transfer RNA (73 nucleotides) under Anaerolineae bacterium. RNAcentral describes it as "tRNA-Val". It matches the Rfam family "tRNA". From Rfam's summary of the family: Transfer RNA (tRNA) molecules are approximately 80 nucleotides in length. Their secondary structure includes four short double-helical elements and three loops (D, anti-codon, and T loops). The record is from RNAcentral. Lineage: Bacteria; Bacillati; Chloroflexota; Anaerolineae.